UCCUCGUUAGUAUAGUGGACAGUAUCUCCGCUUGUCACGCGGAGGCAAAGACCGGGGUUCGAUUCCCCGACGGGGAG
Molecule: non-coding RNA, 77 nt
Organism: Pseudoliparis swirei
Lineage: Eukaryota; Metazoa; Chordata; Actinopteri; Perciformes; Liparidae
Source: the annotation of a RefSeq genome assembly